UACGUAGGGUGCGAGCGUUGUCCGGAAUUACUGGGCGUAAAGAGCUCGUAGGUGGUUUGUCGCGUUGUUCGUGAAAACCGGGGGCUUAACCCUCGGCGUGCGGGCGAUACGGGCAGGCUUGAAUUCGGGAGAGGGAUGCGGAAUUCCAGGUGUAGCGGUGAGAUGCGUAGAUAUCUGGAGGAACACCGGUGGCGAAGGCGGCAUCCUGGACCGAGAUUGACGCUGAUGCGCGAAAGCCAGGGGAGCAAACGGG
This 253-nucleotide ribosomal RNA is filed under the name uncultured bacterium. Its description in RNAcentral is "partial 16S ribosomal RNA". It matches the Rfam family "Bacterial small subunit ribosomal RNA", at positions 524 to 776 of the family's 1533-position model. The record is from RNAcentral.